CCUACGGGUGGCAGCAGUGGGGAAUAUUGGACAAUGGGCGAAAGCCUGAUCCAGCCAUGCCGCGUGUGUGAAGAAGGCCUUCGGGUUGUAAAGCACUUUCAGUGGGGAAGAAAGCCUUGGGGCUAAUACCCUCGAGGAAGGACAUCACCCACAGAAGAAGCACCGGCUAACUCCGUGCCAGCAGCCGCGGUAAUACGGAGGGUGCGAGCGUAAUCGGAAUUACUGGGCGUAAAGCGCGCGUAGGCGGUCUGAUAAGCCGGUUGUGAAAGCCCCGGGCUCAACCUGGGAACGGCAUCCGGAACUGUCAGGCUAGAGUGCAGGAGAGGAAGGUAGAAUUCCCGGUGUAGCGGUGAAAUGCGUAGAGAUCGGGAGGAAUACCAGUGGCGAAGGCGGCCUUCUGGACUGACACUGACGCUGAGGUGCGAAAGCGUGGGUAGCAAACAGGAUUAGAUACCCCUGUAGUC
This 464-nucleotide ribosomal RNA is filed under the name Vreelandella stevensii. Its description in RNAcentral is "partial 16S ribosomal RNA". It matches the Rfam family "Bacterial small subunit ribosomal RNA", at positions 338 to 795 of the family's 1533-position model. The record is from RNAcentral. Lineage: Bacteria; Pseudomonadati; Pseudomonadota; Gammaproteobacteria; Oceanospirillales; Halomonadaceae.